RNAcentral lists this long non-coding RNA (1105 nucleotides) under Sorghum bicolor (sorghum). RNAcentral describes it as "long non-coding RNA (SBIC_LNC018151)". Lineage: Eukaryota; Viridiplantae; Streptophyta; Magnoliopsida; Poales; Poaceae. The record is from RNAcentral.
CCCCCCCCUUUAGUCCGCCAUCUCAACCCUUCAACUGUCCGAAACGAUGAGAUUUUCAGGAACAUUCCUUCUGAUUGCCUGCGAUGUUUGCAGCUUUUCAUUUCUUUAGCCAACUCCUAUGGAGAGCUAAGAAGAAGUUCUUCCCCCAAAUUGAGUCAUGGCUAGAGCAAGUUGUAUAAUUUUGCUUAUUUUCUUUGUUUCUUUCUUUGUGUCCUAAGCUACCUCUUGUAGUUGGUCUCCCUUUCUUUUUUGUUUUCUUUUAAGACAUUUGUUCCCUUGUUUUGCUUUAAUAUAUUUCUAGUAGGAGCUUUUCUGCCCCUCCUGUUCUCUGAAAAAAAACAAUUAUAUCCAUUUCUUUCUCAAAUAUAUGUAGCAGAAUUACGUACAUUCUUUAUUUCAAAUUAUAAAUUUUACUUUUACUUUAUCUUAAAUCAACUCCAUAGUUUUAAUGAAGUUUAUAAAAAAUUUUAUGAACACCUAUUAUAUCAAAUAUUAUAGUUUCGUUAAAUUAUUUAUAAAAUAUAUUUUGAUAGCGCAUUGGUUCAAACUUUUAUACAUCAAUAUGUUUUUUCUAAAGACAUGGUUGAAAUUAGAAAAGUUUUAUUUCUAUAAUAAAGAUAAUAAGAUGACUAUAAUUUAGAAUGGAGAAAGUGUAAUUGCAUUAAGGCGCCGGAGAGAAAAAAAAUAAAGCACAACAAACCCAAACCCAUUCAACUCACUCGGGGCGUUCGGUCAGACCCAACCGAAUCGAUCGGUUCAGCCAUUUUGAAAGUUUGGUGAUCAGAAAACAAGGAUCGAUCGGUUAGUUGAAAAAAUAAAGACUGAGUAAUUUCGGUCUCGGUUACUUUGAUUCGGUCUCGGUCACAACCGAACUAACCAGACCAGCUUAGGAGACCAAAAAAAUAACAGAAUUUCUAUCAAAUUUCAGCAGCAUGUUUACACAAAAUAAUACAAAAUCUUGGUUCUCUUAUUCAAAUAUUAACUACAGCAGCAUUUCACAACUCACAAGUCACAAACUCACAAUGACACAACAAAAACAGCACACAGUCAAGUCUUUAAAAAGAUAAAAAAAACAGUCCAAGACUCCCAAUAGAGAAAUUCGGUU